This 74-nucleotide transfer RNA is filed under the name Martinezella lusitana. RNAcentral's name for it is "Rhizobium lusitanum tRNA-Gln". It matches the Rfam family "tRNA". From Rfam's summary of the family: Transfer RNA (tRNA) molecules are approximately 80 nucleotides in length. Their secondary structure includes four short double-helical elements and three loops (D, anti-codon, and T loops). Lineage: Bacteria; Pseudomonadati; Pseudomonadota; Alphaproteobacteria; Hyphomicrobiales; Rhizobiaceae. The record is from RNAcentral.
UCUGGCUUGGCCAAGCGGUAAGGCAUCGGAAUUUGGAUCCGAGACCCCUGGUUCGAAUCCAGGAGCCAGAACCA